RNAcentral lists this transfer RNA (72 nucleotides) under Camelus bactrianus (Bactrian camel). It matches the Rfam family "tRNA". From Rfam's summary of the family: Transfer RNA (tRNA) molecules are approximately 80 nucleotides in length. Their secondary structure includes four short double-helical elements and three loops (D, anti-codon, and T loops). Further hydrogen bonds mediate the characteristic L-shaped molecular structure. tRNAs have two regions of fundamental functional importance: the anti-codon, which is responsible for specific mRNA codon recognition, and the 3' end, to which the tRNAs corresponding amino acid is attached (by aminoacyl-tRNA synthetases). tRNAs cope with the degeneracy of the genetic code in two manners: having more than one tRNA (with a specific anti-codon) for a particular amino acid; and 'wobble' base-pairing, i.e. permitting non-standard base-pairing at the 3rd anti-codon position. Lineage: Eukaryota; Metazoa; Chordata; Mammalia; Artiodactyla; Camelidae. RNAcentral also lists the same sequence under 1 other name. The record is from Rfam by way of RNAcentral.
GGGGGGAGAGCUCAGUGGUAGAGCGUGUACUUAGCAUUUGCAAGGUCCUGGGUUCAAUCCCCAGUACCUCCA